AACGGCGAGUGAAGCGGCAAAAGCUCAAAUUUGAAAUCUGGCCCCUUCGGGGCCCGAGUUGUAAUUUGUAGAGGAUGCUUCGGGCGUGGCCGCGGUCUAAGUCCCCUGGAACGGGGCGUCGCAGAGGGUGAGAAUCCCGUCUUCGGCCGGCCGGCUUCGCCCAUGUGAAGCUCCUUCGACGAGUCGAGUUGUUUGGGAAUGCAGCUCUAAAUGGGUGGUAAAUUUCAUCUAAAGCUAAAUACUGGUCGGAGACCGAUAGCGCACAAGUAGAGUGAUCGAAAGAUGAAAAGCACUUUGAAAAGAGAGUUAAACAGCAUGUGAAAUUGUUGAAAGGGAAGCGCUUGCGACCAGAGUCGGCCGCGGGGGUUCAGCGGGCAUUCGUUGCCCGUGCACUCCCCCGUGGCCGGGCCAGCGUCGGUUUCGACGGCCGGUCAAAGGCCCCCGGAAUGUGUCACCCUUCGGGGUGUCUUAUAGCCGGGGGUGCAAUGCGGCCAGUCGGGACCGAGGAACGCGCUUCGGCACGGACGCUGGCUUAAUGGUCGUAAGCGACCCGUCUUGAAACACGGACCAAGGAGUCUAACAUCCACGCGAGUGUUCGGGUGUCAAACCCGUCCGCGCAGUGAAAGCGAACGGAGGUGGGAACCCUUAAGGGUGCACCAUCGACCGAUCCAGAAGUCUUCGGAUGGAUUUGAGUAAGAGCGUGGCUGUUGGGACCCGAAAGAUGGUGAACUAUGCCUGAAUAGGGUGAAGCCAGAGGAAACUCUGGUGGAGGCUCGCAGCGGUUCUGACGUGCAAAUCGAUCGUCAAAUUU
This 811-nucleotide ribosomal RNA is filed under the name Blastomyces parvus. Its description in RNAcentral is "partial 28S ribosomal RNA". It matches the Rfam family "Eukaryotic large subunit ribosomal RNA", at positions 85 to 912 of the family's 3401-position model. Lineage: Eukaryota; Fungi; Ascomycota; Eurotiomycetes; Onygenales; Ajellomycetaceae. The record is from RNAcentral.